Molecule: long non-coding RNA, 274 nt
Organism: Gordionus sp. m RMFG-2023
Lineage: Eukaryota; Metazoa; Nematomorpha; Gordioida; Chordodea; Parachordodidae
Exons: 3
Source: RefSeq, a predicted model, not a curated record
AUAUAUCAAGUAUUACAUUUAAUAAAAAUGAUGAUAGUCAACAAAAUGAACACACCAAAUCACUAAUUAAUAUAGAAAAUCAAAAUUUUAAUGAUGAACUUGAUACCAUAAGCAACAAUUUACCACCCACAUCAGAAAAUCAGAAUUUUAAUGAUGAACUUGAUACCAUAAGCAACAAUUUACCACUCACCUCAGAAAUACCUAGAUACUCUAUAAAAAAUUAUGAUAAAAAUAAGCUAAAUACACUUGAUCACUUCAAAUCUCUACCUAGUAA